GAUGAAGAACGCAGCGAAAUGGGAUACGUAAUGUGAAUUGCAAAUUCAGUGAAUCAUCGAGUCUUUGAACGCACAUUGCGCCCCCUGGUAUUCCGGGGGGCAUGCCUGUCCGAGCGUCAUUGCUGCCCUCAAGCACGGCUUGUGUGUUGGGCCCCGUCCUCCGAUCCCGGGGGACGGGCCCGAAAGGCAGCGGCGGCACCGCGUCCGGUCCUCGAGCGUAUGGGGCUUUGUCACCCGCUCUGUAGGCCCGGCCGGCGCUUGCCGAUCAACCCAAAUUUUUAUCCAGGUUGACCUCGGAUCAGGAAGGGAUACCCGCUGAACUUAAGCAUAUCAAUAAGCGGAGGA
This 345-nucleotide unclassified non-coding RNA is filed under the name soil metagenome. RNAcentral's name for it is "partial contains 5.8S ribosomal RNA, internal transcribed spacer 2, and large subunit ribosomal RNA". The stretch from base 1 to 119 matches the Rfam family "5.8S ribosomal RNA", at positions 35 to 154 of the family's 154-position model. The record is from RNAcentral.